GACCUCAGUAGCUUAGUGGUCAGAGCAGCAGGUCGUGAACUUGAAGACCUGGAUUCGUAUCCCAGUCGAGGUCG
Molecule: non-coding RNA, 74 nt
Organism: Henosepilachna vigintioctopunctata
Lineage: Eukaryota; Metazoa; Arthropoda; Insecta; Coleoptera; Coccinellidae
Source: the annotation of a GenBank genome assembly